Molecule: long non-coding RNA, 580 nt
Organism: Condylostylus longicornis
Lineage: Eukaryota; Metazoa; Arthropoda; Insecta; Diptera; Dolichopodidae
Exons: 4
Source: RefSeq, a predicted model, not a curated record
AUUUUAUGGAAAUCAAUUUCAUCAUGUGGUUAUAACGUUAAUGUAACAAAAUAUAUCGAUAAUAUUAAGGAUAUACACAAAGCUCAUAACAUUGUAUAUAUUUUGAAUGAAGGAGGAAUAUAUAAGCAAAAACAAUUGGGAAAGAGAAUAACCGAAAAAAAAGAAUUAAAAAAAGUGAAAAACAUACAUUUUCCAAAUACUAAUCAUCGGCUUACCACUUUUGUUUAAAAUUGUGAAUGAAUUCAGGGGCGAAAAGAAAAAGCAGCAAGAAAAAAGGAGUUAAAUUAUUUUUGACUUCUAUUUUAUAUGUGCAUGCUAUGAAUACUGGAAAAUUGUAAAAAUGAUAUGGAGUUGCACCAUUCUUUUAAAAACACCAUUUGUUUUUUUUUGUAAAUCUGAGAUUUAAUUUUCAUUUUAAAUAUUUUCUGUUCGAAGAAUGUAGGACGCGGAACACUUGGUGUUAAAUAAUGAAGUUGUCGAUGAGAGUAUUAAUCAGGUAGCAUGAUUUGAAUAUAGUUGACAUAAUCAUAGGAAGAAUUUUUGGGUGUUUCGGAUUAAAAUCAAGACAUUUAUGAACGGU